Molecule: ribosomal RNA, 488 nt
Filed under: uncultured bacterium
Lineage: Bacteria
Description: partial 16S ribosomal RNA
Rfam family: Bacterial small subunit ribosomal RNA
Source: RNAcentral
GACGAACGCUGGCGGCGUGCUUAACACAUGCAAGUCGAACGCGCCUGUCCUCUGGGUUUCUGGGGGGUGGGUGAGUGGCGAACGGGUGAGUAACACGUGAGUAACCUGCCCCCUUCUUCGGGAUAACGGUCUGAAAGGGCUGCUAAUACCGGGUAUUCACUGGUCUCCGCAUGGGGUCUGGUGGAAAGGUUUUUUUCUGGUGGGGGAUGGGCUCGCGGCCUAUCAGCUUGUUGGUGGGGUGAUGGCCCACCAAGGCUUUGACGGGUAGCCGGCCUGAGAGGGUGACCGGUCACAUUGGGACUGAGAUACGGCUCAGACUCCUACGGGAGGCAGCAGUGGGGAAUAUUGCACAAUGGGCGCAAGCCUGAUGCAGCGACGCCGCGUGAGGGAUGGAGGCCUUCGGGUUGUGAACCUCUUUCGCCCGUGGUCAAGCCGCGACGUGGGUCGUGGUGAGGGCAGUGGGUAAAGAAGCGCCGGCUAACUACGUG